This 3164-nucleotide long non-coding RNA is filed under the name Homo sapiens (human). RNAcentral describes it as "non-protein coding LIFR-AS1:12". The record is from RNAcentral. Lineage: Eukaryota; Metazoa; Chordata; Mammalia; Primates; Hominidae.
GGGUGCUCCAAGGAGUCGGAGGAACGCGGCCGCGCGACGGGCCCCGGACGCCGAGGGUGGUGCUUCCUCCGAGCCUCCGGUGGUGAGGCCGCUCUCAGAAGGUCAUGGAAGCGCAGGGGAGAGCGAGGCGGCCGAGCCCAGGCAAAUCCUCGAGAAAGGCCGAGUGCGCGACGGCUCUGCGGGGAGGACCGCGCCUCCCCGAAUGCGGCCGCUGCUGCCGCUGCAAACAGUGCCUUGAGGAGAGGAAAGCGGGGAACCGUGUUUUCGCCGCCUCUGUAACCACUGCACACAAGAAAACCAGCUUCUGGGAGAGGGGGAUGAUUGUUGGGACUUUGCGAAUUACCUAAACAGCCCAGGGCCGAGGCGCCGCCGCUCGCGUCCUGGUCCUCCUGCCGGGUGUGGGGCUCCCCUGCCCGAGAUGGCCAGCGGGCGCGCCGAGAGUAUCCUGGAGCCAUCUAGUCUUGCCUCGGAGGCGGGGUGGGCUUAUUUGUGCGGAGAAGAAACGGAUCUCUUAAUGGGGUGAGAUUUUUCCUCCGUACAUUGUUCCCAUUUCCGCAGUUUCACUUGGCCUCGGUUUUCUAGCAGAGUAAUCACCAAAUGAAAUUAGCUGGAGAGCGUUUGAUGGCGCAGAAUCACGGUCUGAAGAUGUUUACGCUGUAUGCCGGACGCGUUUGAUGGUGUUCUCUUCGGCACAAUUAAUUUUGCAAAGUUCAGAAAUGUGCCAGACAGAGCCCCUGGCACGCAGUCAGGACUCUACAGACACACCUUGAGUAGGAAACAGGCUUGUUUGUUUCAUCUGUGAUUUAUGUGAUGCACCAGCACCAAGGCCAACGUGUUUUUUAAAGACCUUUCGAUGAAACUCCAAAGCAAUUUAUAAAUUGGCAAAAUGAAGCUUGUUUUGUAAAAUAACUCUUCCUUGUUGAUCAUGUAAUUAAAUGGGCAACAAAACACCUGAAAGGACAUUUACUGAAAAGUAGACUCCCAAAACAAAAAUAUGUAUUUCACAGCUAGAUACGGUCGCUAUUAGCGUCCUAAUGGCCAACUCCAUCCAUGUGCGUAUUUUGAACACUAAAAACGCCUCCUGUUACCCCUAAGACCUUGUUUGGAUAACAUUUUUCUAUUAUAAGUACUCGAAACCAACCCCAUUUAAGAUGUUUACCCUUAUUCUUGAGUCCUUGAUGGUUUGGGAAAUUUAUCAUUAUUCAUAUUGCACAAUCCUGUCACUGUCUUUUCCAUUAGGCACAGUGCCUAAGGUCCACAAUAUUUUUAGAGGCCCACAAAAAAUAUUUUAAUUUCUUUUCAAAUCAGAAGGAAAAAAAAUUUAGGUUUAAGAAAGUAUUUUAAUAUAUAUUAAUAUAUUUGUUUUUGUGCUAAUACAAUCUUAAAAUGUAUGUAUAUAUGUGUGUGUGUAUAUGUAUAUAUAUUUUAAUGGAGUAAGGGGCUCAACGAAGGCAAAAAGGCCUAGAGCCCAAGAAAAACAUGAUGUGGCCCUGUUGCCUGGGGUUGAAAAAUCCCAUUCCAUGAGAAGAAUUUAGUUUUAAGAAUAUUACAUAAAAUGCUCAUUUCUGUGGCCUUGCUAUAAUAGAAAGAUGGAGAUUCAGAGUAGUGAUAAUGGCUAACAUCCACCUGAUACACACCAUGUGUCCAUUACCUCUUAAUCCUCACAGCACACCUGUGAAAUAGGUACUAUUCUCACACUUAGGGGGUAAUGCAGGUUUUGUGGGGCCUGCAAUUUAUGCAAUUUGGGUGGUCCUCUUAAAGAAAAAGCAAAUACUGUGUAUUAGUCCGUUCUCACACUGCUAUAAAGAACUGCGCGAGACUGGGUAAUUUAUAAAGGAAAGAGGUUUAAUUGACUCACAGUUCCACAUGGCUGGGGAGACCUCAGGAAACUUAACAAUCGUGGUGGAAGGAGAAGCAAGUACCUUCUUCACAAGGAAGCGGAAAGAAUUGUGAGCGGAGGAACUUGCCAAACACAAAACCGUCAGAUCGCGUGAGAAUUCAGUUACUAUCACGAGAACAACACGGGAAAACUGUCCCCAUAAUCAAGUCAUUUCUCUCCCUAACAAGUGAGGAUUACAAUUCAAGAUGAGGUUUGGGUAGGAACACAAAGCCUGACCCUAUCCCACAGCAUGUCCAGGCUGCCCUAGCACCACCCAAUAGAAGGGAAAAUGGCAGAGGGAAAGUCCUAGUGGAAAGAGACCUCAGUCUCAGCUAAUUGUGGUGACAAUAUAUUGCUUUUGCAAAUUGUACAUAAACAUAUGACCAGGUGAAUGUAUCGCCAAGGCUCCUGCCAAGGCCUGGGAUGGAGGCCUAGAGAAGAUGCCCGAAAGUUUAUGCUGUGUGAGCUUCACAGAAGACCUGCCUUCCAUGUAUACCCAUUUUACAGGUGUCUGUGCGGUGCAGAAACUGUACAACUGUAUACAGUGACCAUUUCUACUCUGGGUCUCUAAACAAGGGCUGGUAUCGUUACAGAGACUGAAGACUGAGGAAGACCAUCUCUGUAGGAUGCCAAGGAUUGACUGGAGAAAGUCUGGAGGGAGUCUCGCUGUGUCGCCCAGGCUGGAGUACAAUGGUGCAAUCUCGGUGCUCUGCAACCUCCCCCUCCCGAGUUGAAGCAUUUCUCCCACCUCAGCCUCCAAAGUAGCUGGAAUUACAGGCAUGCACCACCAUGCCUGGCUAAUUUUUGUAUUUUUGUAGAGAUGACGUUUCACCAUGUUGGUCAGGCUGGUCUUAAACUCCUGACCUUAGGUGAUCCGCCUGCCUCGGCCUCCCAAAAGGCACACUUUCAAUCUGGCUCCUGCCACAUUCUACCUAACAUUCCUAGUGUCAGCCAUAGUGAAUCACUGAUAGCUGUUCCCAACCCACUGAGCUUUUUCUCUGCAGGCCUGCAUCACCCGCUCCUGCCCCUUCCCCUGACACCCCUCAAGUGGCUAACUGCUACUCCUUCUCAGCUCCUCCACGAGGUCUGCCCUAACUUCCUCAACACUGGGCUGCUUACCCCUUUUCUGCACUUCCCCUAGCAUAGGAUGUAUCUUACUCCUAUUGUAGCAUUGUUCCCACUUUGCUAUAAUAAUUUACUUCCUUGUCCGUAAGGAACUCUUAGGCAGGCUUCUAUGCCUAGCACAAUGCCUGGUGCAUACUGAAACCUCAAUAAAUAUUGGUUA